GAUGAACGCUGGCGGCGUGCCUAAUACAUGCAAGUCGAGCGAACGGACGAGAAGCUUGCUUUUCUGAUGUUGGCGGCGGACGGGUGAGUAACACGUGGAUAACCUACCUAUAAGACUGGGAUAACUUCGGGAAACCGGAGCUAAUACCGGAUAAUAUUUUGAACCGCAUGGUUCAUAAGUGAAAGACGGUCUUGCUGUCACUUAUAGAUGGAUCCGCGCUGCAUUAGCUAGUUGGUAAGGUAACGGCUUACCAAGGCAACGAUGCAUAGCCGACCUGAGAGGGUGAUCGGCCACACUGGAACUGAGACACGGUCCAGACUCCUACGGGAGGCAGCAGUAGGGAAUCUUCCGCAAUGGGCGAAAGCCUGACGGAGCAACGCCGCGUGAGUGAUGAAGGUCUUCGGAUCGUAAAACUCUGUUAUUAGGGAAGAACAUAUGUGUAAGUAACUGUGCACAUCUUGACGGUACCUAAUCAGAAAGCCACGGCUAACUACGUG
This 497-nucleotide ribosomal RNA is filed under the name uncultured bacterium. RNAcentral describes it as "partial 16S ribosomal RNA". It matches the Rfam family "Bacterial small subunit ribosomal RNA", at positions 28 to 507 of the family's 1533-position model. The record is from RNAcentral.